Long non-coding RNA from Acinonyx jubatus (cheetah), 2198 nucleotides. RefSeq lists it as uncharacterized. NCBI's taxonomy places the organism in Eukaryota, Metazoa, Chordata, Mammalia, Carnivora, Felidae. The record is from RefSeq and is a predicted model, not a curated record. The transcript has 5 exons.
AAGUGGUCUAUCUGUAAAUUUCCUAGUGCUGACUAGUGAAUUUUAUGUUGACUGGUUAAAGAUUACAUUCCUAGGUGGGUUGAAACUGCAGUUAGGCUAGGCAUUAUGUCUUGGGGUGCUGAUGUGGGACCUUAAUAUAAGUGACUCUUUUGGGGGGCCUGUGGUUUUCUUUUUAACACGGGAAAGGCUAUUAGGCUUUGUUGAAUGCUUUUUCUGUAUCCACUGAAAAAAAUCACAUAGUUUUCUCCUUUAUUAAUAUUGUGAAUUAUACUGAUUGAUUUUCAGAUAUUAAACCAACCGUACAUGCUGAAGAUAAACUCCACUUUGUCAUGACAUAUGAUACCUUUAGUGUAAUACUGAAUUCAAUUUGUUAAUGUUUUAAGUCUUUUUGCAUCUAUGUUUAUGAACGUUAGUGAUCUGUAGUUCUUUUGCCUUGUGAUGUCUUUGGUUCUGAAAUCAGGGUAUUACUGGCUUCAUAAAAUGAGUUCAGAAGUGUCUUUACUUUUCUGAACGAUUUUGUGUAGUAUUGAUAUGUUGUUGUUGUUGUUGUUUUUUCCUUUUUCCUUUAAUUGUUGGUAGAAUUAACCAAUGAAGCCAUAUGAGCCUGGAGUUUCCUUUGCUGGAAAGUUUUUCAUUACUAACACAACUUUUAAAAUUUAUGUAGGGCUGCUCAAGCUUACCAUUUCUUGUUGGGUUAGAUAUGGGAUUUUGUGUCUUUUUUUUUCUUUUAAUUUUUUUAAUUUUAGAAAGACAGCAUGAGCAAGGGAGGGGCAGAGAGAGGGGGAGAGAAAGAAUCUUAAGAAGGAUGCACUCUCAGUGCAGAGCCCAACAUGGGGCUCAAUCCCAUGACCCUGGGAUCAUGACCUGAGCUGAAGUCAAGAAUUGGAUGCUUAACCAACUGAGCCACCAAGGUGCCCAUGCAUGGAUCUUGUGUCUUUUAAGGAAUUUGUCCAUCUUACAUGGGUUGUCAAAGGUGUUUAUAAUAAUCUCUUAUUCUUUAAUGCUCUGAAGGCACUAUAGUGAUGUCCCUUCUUUUAUUACUGAUAUCAGUACAAUGUAUGUUUUCCAUUUUUUUUGUAGCUAGAAGUUUAUAAAUUUUAUUAAUUUUUUUAAAAAAGCAUCAAUUUCUGCUUUCAUUAGUUUUUCUCUUCUGCUUUUCUCUCUCUUUUCAAAAGAGAGAGAAAUGUAUUUAUUUUGAGACUGAUUGCAUGUGUACUCAUGUACCCACACACAAGCAGGGUAGGGGCAGAGAUGGGGAGAGAGAGAAUGCCAAACAGGCUCCUCACUGUCAAUGCAGGGUCCAAUGUGGGGCUCCAUCCCAUGAACUGUGAGAUCAUGACCUGAGCUGAAAUCAAGAGUUGGACACUCAACCAACUGAGCUGCACAGGUGCUCCUCUUUUUUAUUUCAUUCAUUUCUGCUUUUAUAUUUUAUUUCCACCUUCCUGCUUGCUUUGAAUUUAAUGUUCUCUCUUAUAUUUUAUUAAAGUGGGAGAUGAUAUCAUUGACUUGGGACUUUUCUUCUUUUUCUAUUUUAGGUAUUCUAAAGCUUUAAGUUUUCCUCUAAGUGUCCUGUGUUGGAUGUAUCCCCAUAAGUUCUGUCUAGCUAGGAAGGACCUUGAAAGGCAGAGGAAAAUUUUUCAUCCCGGACACCUGGCCUAGUUGGUAGUACACUUUAACACACUGGAUGCUGCUUGUCACAAACAUAGCUGUGGCUGGGAGAUCCUUGGGACAUCUGACCUAGAGCCGACAGAAGCCUCCAGAACCACCCAUCCCCCACAAUGCAGCUAUAUUCCCAACCUCAUCAGUCAUCACAUCCAUGACAGUUGCUCAGUUACAAUCAAGAUCACCUCUCUGAAAGUUCCACACACUUAAUCACUGCACUUACCGUUCCCUGGACCUACUUUAUGUCUGUUCAUCUAAGCUAUAGUUUCUUCAAAACCUACCUCAUCUGUGAAGAUUUCCUAGUGCCACUCCAAAGAGAGAUGAAUCCUGGGUGAUACUAGAUGCCAUGUGUUGAAGAUAUCAAGGCUCCUGUCAACCUGGUGCCUGAAAAGGCUAUUGUGCCAACCCCUUCACUUCACUACUGUCAUGAACCCAGUGACCCACCAGAGGACUGGACAGUUUAAGGCCAGCUCCAGAAACAAAUGGAAGACAGUUCAAGUACUUAAUAUAAAAACCUUUUUAAAUUUCUUUUUCUU